RNAcentral lists this ribosomal RNA (440 nucleotides) under uncultured bacterium. RNAcentral describes it as "partial 16S ribosomal RNA". It matches the Rfam family "Bacterial small subunit ribosomal RNA", at positions 338 to 795 of the family's 1533-position model. The record is from RNAcentral.
CCUACGGGUGGCUGCAGUGGGGAAUAUUGCACAAUGGGGGAAACCCUGAUGCAGCGACGCCGCGUGAGUGAAGAAGUAAUUCGUUAUGUAAAGCUCUAUCAGCAGGGAAGAAAAUGACGGUACCUGAGUAGGAACCCCCGGCUAACUACGUGCCAGCAGCCGCGGUAAUACGUAGGGCGCAAGCGUUAUCCGGAUUUACGGGGUGUAACGGGUGCGUAGACGGCAGUGCAAGUCUGGAGUGAAAGGCGGGGGCUCAACCCCCGGACUGCUCUGGAAACUGGCCGUCUGGAGUGCAGGAGAGGUAAGUGGAAUUCCUAGUGUAGCGGUGAAAUGCGUAGAUAUUAGGAGGAACACCAGUGGCGAAGGCGGCUUACUGGACUGUAACUGACGUUGAGGCUCGAAAGCGUGGGGAGCAAACAGGAUUAGAUACCCUUGUAGGC